Molecule: transfer RNA, 73 nt
Filed under: Sus scrofa (pig)
Lineage: Eukaryota; Metazoa; Chordata; Mammalia; Artiodactyla; Suidae
Rfam family: tRNA
About the family: Transfer RNA (tRNA) molecules are approximately 80 nucleotides in length. Their secondary structure includes four short double-helical elements and three loops (D, anti-codon, and T loops).
Source: Rfam by way of RNAcentral
UCCCUGGUAGCCUAGAAGUUAAGGAUUUGGCAUUGUCGCUGCUAUAGCUCAGGUUCAAUCCAUGGCCUGGGAA